Molecule: ribosomal RNA, 509 nt
Filed under: uncultured bacterium
Lineage: Bacteria
Description: partial 16S ribosomal RNA
Rfam family: Bacterial small subunit ribosomal RNA
Source: RNAcentral
GACGAACGCUGGCGGCGUGCCAAACACAUGCAAGUUGCGCGACGAACCGGGCUUCGGCCCGCGGCACAGCAGCCAACGGGUCCGUAUCUCGUGAGUAACCUACCCCGAUGACCGGGACAACUCGAGGAAACUCUAGCUAAUACCGGAAGCGCUUCCCACACACAACUGCCUCCAUCCAUGGAAGCCUCGGCCCCCGAACCGCGUGCGGCUCGCGGCCCAUUUGCUUGUUGGUACGGUAAAGGCUCGCCAAGGCUCCGAUGCGUAGCUGGUCUGAGAGGACGCUCAGCCCCACUGGGACUGAGACACGGCCCAGACUCCUGGGGGAGGCAGCAGUGGGGAAUCUUGCGCACUGCGCGAAAGCGUGACGCAGCAACGCCGCGUGAGGGAAGACGGCCUUCGGGUUGUAAACCUCCUUCAGGAGGGACGAAGGUUCGCCGGCGAACAGCCUGGCGGAUUGACGGUACCUCCAGAAGAAGCCCCGGCUAACUACGUGCCAGCAGCCGCGGUAA